GGCUCAGAUUGAACGCUGGCGGCAUGCCUUACACAUGCAAGUCGAGCGGUAACAGGCCGCAAGGUGCUGACGAGUGGCGAACGGGUGAGUAAUACAUCGGAACGUGCCCGAGAGUGGGGGAUAACGGAGCGAAAGCUUUGCUAAUACCGCAUACGAUCUACGGAUGAAAGCAGGGGACCGCAAGGCCUUGCGCUCAUGGAGCGGCCGAUGGCAGAUUAGGUAGUUGGUGGGAUAAAAGCUUACCAAGCCGACGAUCUGUAGCUGGUCUGAGAGGACGACCAGCCACACUGGGACUGAGACACGGCCCAGACUCCUACGGGAGGCAGCAGCGGGGAAUUUUGGACAAUGGGCGAAAGCCUGAUCCAGCCAUGCCGCGUGCAGGAUGAAGGCCUUCGGGUUGUAAACUGCUUUUGUACCGGAACGAAAACGACUCUGGUUAAUACCGUUGGGUCCAUGACGGUACCGUAAGAAUAAGCACCGGUCUAACUACGUG
This 493-nucleotide ribosomal RNA is filed under the name uncultured bacterium. Its description in RNAcentral is "bacterial SSU rRNA". It matches the Rfam family "Bacterial small subunit ribosomal RNA", at positions 21 to 507 of the family's 1533-position model. The record is from RNAcentral.